CAGUAUGGUCCUGAGAUAACACAGAGUCAUAUAGAUUGGUUCUAGAUUAACAAAUCCAAACAUCAGCCUGACCUACCAAGUUCCAUCACUAAACCAUGUCUCAUUAGUGCCACAUCCACAGGUCACGUCUCUUAAACGUGUACAGGAAUGGGGAUUCCAUCACUUCUUUGGGCAGUAACAUGGUGAUACAGACAUACAUGAUCUCACAACUGAACAGAAAAAUGUCAGAUUGGUGCACUUGUCCUCUACAGGAAAGUGUUGAAGAUAUGUUGUGAAAUUUCACACCCUAACUCUAAAACUGAUAUAAAGACUUCCAGGUAAAAACAUCCAGCAGUUUAUUCCUAUUACUGAGAAAACAAGAAUUGUUCCUGUCAUCUGAAACAGUUGUACAUGUACAUCCGUUCCUAGGAGUAAAAAGAUAAAAGAAAAAAGAAACAGAGAAAUCUUGAAGUAAAUACAGAAACGUAAAAGAGAGAAGAGGAGCUGCCUUAUUACUUGUGCAUGAGUUCAAGCAAUGGCUGCAGAGCUGCCACACCAGGUGUAUGAAUCCUUCCUUGUUUUCUG
Molecule: long non-coding RNA, 564 nt
Organism: Gallus gallus (chicken)
Lineage: Eukaryota; Metazoa; Chordata; Aves; Galliformes; Phasianidae
Source: Ensembl